GCUGGGUGUGGUGGCACAUGCCUGUAAUCCCAGCUCAGGAGGCUGAGGCAGGAGGAUCUGAAUUCAAAGCCAGCCUCAG
Molecule: small RNA, 79 nt
Filed under: Marmota monax (woodchuck)
Lineage: Eukaryota; Metazoa; Chordata; Mammalia; Rodentia; Sciuridae
Source: RNAcentral